RNAcentral lists this long non-coding RNA (1412 nucleotides) under Marmota monax (woodchuck). The record is from RNAcentral. Lineage: Eukaryota; Metazoa; Chordata; Mammalia; Rodentia; Sciuridae.
UAGAAUUUGCUAGAUCAUAGUAAUUCAGUGCUCAAGUUUUUGAGAAGUUACCAAAUAAUUUUCCACAGUAGCCAGGCCAAUUUAUAUAUCCCACCCCCUCAACAUCUAAGGAUUCCAAUUUCUUUGCAUCAUCAACAACAUUUCUUAUUUUCUGUUGGUGUUUGGUUCUGACUUUGUAAUAGCUACUGUAUCUUCAUGGGUCAUGAAAGAUAAGGAUCCUUUUUCUCUCUUCCUAGUUCUAACUCUGUGUUCCUGAAUUCCCCUUUCCUCUUGUAAUUCUACUUAGGGACUUUAUAACUGCUAUUUUUUUUUAAUGGAAUGUGAAUUUGAUUCUCAAUCUCCUGGCCCUUUCCAUUCCUUUCUUUGUCUCUUAGAUAAAAUCAGCACCCCCCACCCUUUUAUUUUCCAACAGGAACCAUCUACUCCUCUACCUUCUUUAAUUUCAAUUGCUUCCUUCUUCCAGACUUUCCAUGUCUUGGUAAUCCUCCUGAACAUUUACCCUGAAAGCCAAAGGUGACUCCAUCUGAAUGGAUCCUGCUUUCCCAGCUCAUCUGCCCUUUCCCUUCUGGAUUCUUGAAACUAACCAUCUCAUACCUUUUUGUCUUGUCAUCACAGAAAACACAAGUCCAAGGUGCCAACACUUAUUAGCCCUCAUGCACAUUUUUCCCACCUACUGGAGAGACCAUGCUAAAUCACAUGUCAUUUUGAGGUAUUGCCAGAUCCUGGUUUUGCAAGUUAGGGCACUCUCCUAUGGAACACUUGAGUGACCUUGCAACCUGCUCCAGGCUAUGGCUGAAUGGUCUAGGUCUCUGACUCCCAGACCUAACCCCACAGGUUCCCCUAAGAUACCAUUUCCAUACCACUUUGGCACAACAUAGUGAUCACCAUAAACCCUAGGCUGGUUUGCCAAUCUCAGCUUGGUCACGUAUGCAGUGAGGUGCCAGUUUACUCAGUUAUGAUUUCUCCCUUGCCUUGAAGAGAUAAGCAACAAUGAACUUGAGCCUACUUAGGAAGAUCACUGUACAUAAAAGCAAAUCCAGUUCAUUGUUUUCAGUUCAUAAAACAAAAAUAUCACCCUGAACAAAAGGAUCUUCCUGAAUGUGUGCUGCUUUGGAGGUUACACAAAUGCAAUCAGAGUGAAUUCAGAACCAUCCAGGGGUCAGAGAUCAAUUCUGCCCUUUGAUGGGACAUAAAAGGCUUAACCUUAAGUAGGCAGCUGCAUUCACUGUGGCCCCUGCAGCCUUGACAUUCUGCACAGAUUCUGAUACAAUCAUCCCUUGUCAUCCAUGUUCAAAGACCCCCAAUGAAUACCCUGAACUGCGGACAGUACCAAACCCUAUGUAUGCUAUGUGUUUUCCUAUAUGUGCACACCUAUGAUAAAGUGGAGUCUAUCAAGUAAGACACUAAUAUCA